UGCCUAAAAGCACCGUUAAUGGAUCAGGA
This 29-nucleotide non-coding RNA is filed under the name Bombyx mori (domestic silkworm). Lineage: Eukaryota; Metazoa; Arthropoda; Insecta; Lepidoptera; Bombycidae. The record is from RNAcentral.